RNAcentral lists this ribosomal RNA (497 nucleotides) under uncultured bacterium. RNAcentral's name for it is "partial 16S ribosomal RNA". It matches the Rfam family "Bacterial small subunit ribosomal RNA", at positions 28 to 507 of the family's 1533-position model. The record is from RNAcentral.
GAUGAACGCUGGCGGCGUGCCUAAUACAUGCCAGUCGAGCGAACUGACGAGAAGCUUGCUUCUCUGAUGUUAGCGGCGGACGGGUGAGUAACACGUGGAUAACCUACCUAUAAGACUGGGAUAACUUCGGGAAACCGGAGCUAAUACCGGAUAAUAUUUUGAACCGCAUGAUUCAAAAGUGAAAGACGGUCUUGCUGCCACUUAUAGAUGGAUCCGCGCUGCAUUAGCUAGUUGGUAAGGUAACGGCUUACCAAGGCAACGAUGCAUAGCCGACCUGAGAGGGUGAUCGGCCACACUGGAACUGAGACACGGUCCAGACUCCUACGGGAGGCAGCAGUAGGGAAUCUUCCGCAAUGGGCGAAAGCCUGACGGAGCAACGCCGCGUGAGUGAUGAAGGUCUUCGGAUCGUAAAACUCUGUUAUUAGGGAAGAACAUAUGUGUAAGUAACUGUGCACAUCUUGACGGUACCUAAUCAGAAAGCCACGGCUAACUACGUG